GUUAAAUUUACCCCUCAAAAG
Molecule: unclassified non-coding RNA, 21 nt
Filed under: Trichuris muris
Lineage: Eukaryota; Metazoa; Nematoda; Enoplea; Trichinellida; Trichuridae
Description: trans-spliced leader sequence SL-12
Source: RNAcentral